AUGCUCUGGUUUCUCUUCAGAUCGUAUAAAUCUUUCGCCUUUUACUAAAGAUUUCCGUGGAGAGAAACAAUUCUGAGUCUGUAACCAAUUUUUUGAGGCUUUGCAAUUGCAAGGCU
Molecule: small nuclear RNA, 116 nt
Organism: Dasypus novemcinctus (nine-banded armadillo)
Lineage: Eukaryota; Metazoa; Chordata; Mammalia; Cingulata; Dasypodidae
Gene: U5
Rfam family: U5 spliceosomal RNA
About the family: U5 RNA is a component of both types of known spliceosome.
Source: Ensembl